GGGGAUGAUCGGCCUAGACACUCGGCCCGUUCCAUCCGCAGCAACGUGGAGCACUCCCGCACUCUCCUGAAACGUCGGGAAACACAUAAAUGCGAACAGCGUUUAUUCAAAAGCAGUAGCUCUUGUCUCUCCGUAUUUCGGAGCGACCAACUUUGCUUUCGCCCGGGCUUCGGCCUAAGCGACAUCGAAACUUCUGACGCCUGAUAGGAAGCUUUCGGUGUUAUACUUUUCAGACUAUAUUCCGCCUUUCCUCGCGGCGGAACGAACACAGAGGAUCGGAUGCCGGACAUUUUGUCUUUUUUGAGGACGGCAUCUCAAACGCCUUCGGGCGAUAAAACAGACUAGACGUUGUAGAUCGCGUUUGGACAUCCGUUUGCACGGCGGUUCGAUUCCGCCCAUCUCCACCC
This 407-nucleotide transfer-messenger RNA is filed under the name Patescibacteria group bacterium. It matches the Rfam family "transfer-messenger RNA". From Rfam's summary of the family: Bacterial tmRNA, also known as 10Sa RNA or SsrA, is named for its dual tRNA and mRNA-like properties. Its role is to liberate the mRNA from a stalled ribosome. The record is from RNAcentral. RNAcentral also lists the same sequence under 1 other name.